Molecule: long non-coding RNA, 2029 nt
Organism: Dermochelys coriacea (leatherback sea turtle)
Lineage: Eukaryota; Metazoa; Chordata; Testudines; Dermochelyidae
Exons: 4
Source: RefSeq, a predicted model, not a curated record
UCUAGGAGAGCAGAAGGUGAUACUAGCUGCUUUUCUUCAGUACCAACACUAGCUGGGAACAAAGCAUGUUCUAGCUAAAUAGUCCUUCUAGGGCAAAGAAUUUACCAUGUAACAAAUAGUUUGAGAAAAACCUUCUGUUUUUUCUCUUUAAAUCCUUUUGUGCUUGGAAACUGCCUUAUUUCCCAGUAUGGUUUCUGAGUGUACAAGCUACUCAAUGGAACAGGUCCCAGUGAUAUUUCACUGUUUGCCUCAAGAUUCUGUUUUGGCUUUUGAUUAACUUUUUCCUGGAGUUGUUACUGAUCCACUCUGGGAACUUGGUGAAUUGGAUGCCAACUCUCAUACCUAACUGUCCUGCCCCUUAAGAUUAAAACUAACUGCUCUGAACUCUAGCUUGGCAAUGGAUGCAGAGGAUGCUAUGAAACAGGAUGCUGAGCAGCCCCCAGACACUGAGUCACUGGUUGAAGGUGUGAGAACCCUGCUAAGAUCCCUUGAAGUCCGGCAGCAGCGCCUCCUGGCAAACAUUGCCAGCUGCGACAAGCUGAUGGCAGAAAUCACCAGUCUUCAGGCCGCUCUCUGGGCUCCUGCCAGAACAGAGGGCAGCUCCUUGCCUGUGCAAGAAGAGAACAAGAAUUCCUGAAAUGCUUAAUGAGCUGAUCACCUGAGGGCUAUUGAUGAAGGAAGCCACUACAACUCUCGUUGCCUGUACCCUACAAAAUGUACUUAGCCCUCUAGUCCCUGAACUCUUUGCGUACGUUUGGUGUGGUGUGUAAGUACAUGUUGCUGUGACCUCAACUCUCAAGUCCAUUGUCUAGAAAUAAAUGACAACUGUUUACUCUAGCUCUGAGAAAACUUGUGACAGGCUGAAGCUAAUAGCCUGGAAAAAGAAACAGUCUUACAACAAGCCCAGCUCUGAUCAGUGCUGCUGACCCCACUCAAGCUCUCUGCUGUUGCCUUGGGUCGCUAACAGGAAAGUAGAUUCCCCUCCAGUCUCAGGAUCUUUUAGUGCACAGCUGGAAUAGUUGCACUGCAGGGGCUGCAUCUCACCUUUUGUCCUGAUGAUCUGUGUCCUUCAUCCCUUCCUACCUUCAGCAGAGGGUGGCUCCAGAUUGUAAAUUCCUUCCCCCCCUCUGUUCCUACCUGCAUUUUGAAUUGGGGAGGAGUAUUACCAUGGAGCAGUGACUCCUCCCUGAGGGAGUGUGAAACCUUUGACAGCACAUCAGACAGCUGCUGCUACCUUGCUUUCUGCUCCAUAUGAUUUAGGCUGCUCUGGGGAGACACAGAAGACCAGCAGCUUGUUUCCUGCUUCCCAGCUGCCCUGGUUUGACACUAGACAUUUCAGAUUAGGAGCUUGAGGAAGCUGCUGCCAGAGCCAACAUGCUUUGAUUUACUUCAGUUUGACUGAGAACAGGUUAAAGAGGGUGCCUACAAUAAUCAUGGAAGAAUUGACCCACUUUGAGCCUCACUGUGCAGCUCCAGAGCAUUCUGCUCCUGGAAAGGCAGGGCUGUGGCUGGAGUGAGAUGAAGCCUCAGUGUUGCCCCUGAUGUGCUCUGACCAAUGCUUUGUACCCAAAGUGCGAUCAUCUCACUGGCCUUCUCCUUCCCCCAGCUGUUUGUUGUAUCCACCUAUUUUAUCAUCACAGACUUGGUCCUUGUCGUGAAGAGCUUGAUUCUCUCCCUUUAGUGUGUCAAGUGUCUAGCACAAGGAGGUCUCAAUCCUGGAGUAGAGUUCCUUUGUGCUCCUGUAAUACAAAUCCUAGACCACUGACAAUAUAAGAGGGCAGAACAUAAAGUCAGCUCUGCUGCUGGGGAGAGACUUGCCCAAACACUUCAGCCCUAAAUUAUUAGGGACCUUAUGUACCCCCUGAGGUCCUUAAAUUGGCUCACCAGGUACUCGUAGAGAGGUCAGCAGCCAGUAUUUAUUCCCUUGCCCCUAAAGCAAAUAAGUACCCUCCUUUGGCAGCUUCUGGAUCAUUUUUGAGAGGCCAGUUACUGCACCUGAGCCAGGCUCUCACCUAUUUGAGACUUUUCA